RNAcentral lists this ribosomal RNA (410 nucleotides) under uncultured bacterium. RNAcentral describes it as "bacterial SSU rRNA". It matches the Rfam family "Bacterial small subunit ribosomal RNA", at positions 93 to 499 of the family's 1533-position model. The record is from RNAcentral.
GAGUGGCGGACGGGUGAGGAAUGCGUCGGAAUCUGCCUUUUUGUGGGGGAUAACGUAGGGAAACUUACGCUAAUACCGCAUACGACCUACGGGUGAAAGUGGGGGACCCCAAGGCCUCGCGCAGAAAGAUGAGCCGAGGCCGGAUUAGCUAGUUGGCGGGGUAAAGGCCCACCAAGGCGACGAUCCGUAGCUGGUCUGAAGGGAUGAUCAGCCACACUGGAACUGAGACACGGUCCAGACUCCUACGGGAGGCAGCAGUGGGGAAUAUUGGACAAUGGGCGCAAGCCUGAUCCAGCCAUGCCGCGUGUGUGAAGAAGGCCUUCGGGUUGUAAAGCACUUUUGUCCGGAAAGAAAAGCAUUCGGUUAAUAACCGGGGGUCAUGACGGUACCGGAAGAAUAAGCACCGGCUA